GCAUUACUGACGAGUCCCAAAACAGGACGAAGCAGCUGUUCAAUGC
This 46-nucleotide non-coding RNA is filed under the name Echinostoma caproni. Lineage: Eukaryota; Metazoa; Platyhelminthes; Trematoda; Plagiorchiida; Echinostomatidae. The record is from RNAcentral.